RNAcentral lists this ribosomal RNA (253 nucleotides) under uncultured bacterium. RNAcentral's name for it is "partial 16S ribosomal RNA". It matches the Rfam family "Bacterial small subunit ribosomal RNA", at positions 524 to 776 of the family's 1533-position model. The record is from RNAcentral.
UACGUAGGCAGCGAGCGUUGUUCGGAGUUACUGGGCGUAAAGGGUGCGUAGGCGGUUGUUUAAGUUUGGUGUGAAAUCUCCCGGCUCAACUGGGAGGGUGCGCCGAAUACUGAAUGACUAGAGUGCGGGAGAGGAUAGUGGAAUUCCUGGUGUAGCGGUGAAAUGCGUAGAUAUCAGGAGGAACACCGGUGGUGUAGACGGCUAUCUGGACCGUAACUGACGCUGAGGCACGAAAGCGUGGGGAGCAAACGGG